UCAUUUCUUUUCUUCAAGUUUUCUACAAGCUUCCAUAUUUUCUUCACUUCUCCAUUAAAGUUUCAAGUCUUUUAGUUGCAAAUCUCUCAAGUGUCUUAUAUUUCUCCCUUUAUUAAGGAUAUUAGGAGGAUAAGGGUCAAUUGGAGAUAAGGAGGAGGAAAUUUGCAAAGGAGUGUGGUUUCUUGACAUAAGGUAAUGGUUAAAGCGGUAACGGCGAGUGGCGGUCAAGGAGGCUUGGGGCAUGCAUGUUUUUGUUCUAGCUAAACUUAUGAUGUUAUAUAAAGGAUGUUGCUUUUGAAUUUAAUGUAUAUAGUUUAAUGUUUAUAAUCUAAGUUUUAUG
This is a long non-coding RNA of Pistacia vera, 340 nucleotides long. RefSeq lists it as uncharacterized. The record is from RefSeq and is a predicted model, not a curated record. NCBI's taxonomy places the organism in Eukaryota, Viridiplantae, Streptophyta, Magnoliopsida, Sapindales, Anacardiaceae. The transcript has 3 exons.